AUUUUGAAUAUCUGAAAAUAAUAGACUUUACACCCGGCGUGAGCCACCGUGCCUGGCCGUGUAUACAUACUUUUUUUUUUUUUUUUUUUGUGACGGAGUUUUACUCUUGUCCCCCAGGCUGGAGUGCAAUGGUGUGAUCUCGGCUCACUGUAACCUCUGCCUCAUAGGUUCAAGCAAUUCCCUUACCUCAGCCUCCCAAGAAUCUGGGAUUACAGGCACCUGCCACCAUGCCUGGCUAAUUUUUAUAUUUUUAGUAGAGAUGGGGUUUCACCAUGUUGGCCAGGCUUGUCUCGAACUCCUGACCUCAGGUGAUCCGCCCGCCUUGGCCUCCCAAAGUUCUGGGAUUAUAGGCGUGAGCCACUGUGCCCAGCCCAACAUAAUUUAAAAAAAAAUUAAAAAAAAAUCUGACUCUCAUAUCACAGCAUUAAUUUUCUUAGCCUCUCAUUCCCAUUUAAGAACUUUUGUGAUUACCCUAGGCUCACACUUAUAAUUCAGAUAAGAUCAGGUGCAUUCAGGGUGGUAUGGCUGUAGACACCAAUCUCAUAAUUCAAAUUAAUCUCUUUGUUUUAGAGUCAUCUGAUUAUCAUCCUUGAUUUUAUCUACAGCCUCUAUUCUUUGUCAUAUACCAUAAUAUAUUCCUAGAACGUGGGGGUUAAGACAUGGGCACUUUUGUGGGGCAUCAUUUCAUUUAUCACAACUCCUAUUAAUUGUAUUUUAUUAAAAUAAUCCUGGCUCUGUCCAACUUUUGUUUCCAUCCCAGAGAACCCUUAUGUAAACUUUUUUAUCUUAGAAGAAAAUUGUGGCAGGGUGCGGUGGCUCACGCCUGUAAUCCCAACACUUUGGGAGGCCGAGGUGAGGAUCAUUUGAGGUCAGGAGAUCAAGACCAGCCUGGCCAACGUGGUGAAUCCCCGUCUCUAUUAAAAAUACAAAAAUUAGCCAGGCAUAUAUGGCCUUUAUUAUGCUUAGGUAAAUUCCAUCUAUACCUAGUUUAGAGUUUUUAUCAUGAAGUGGCAUUGAAUUUUUGUGAAAUACUCUUUCUGAAUCUUUUGAGAUGAUUGUUAUCCUUCAUUCUGUUAAUGUGGUAUAUCACAUUUAUUAAUUUAUGUAUGUUGACCCAUCCUUGCAUCUUAGGGAUUAAUCCCAUUUGGUCAUGAUGUAUGAUCCUUUUAAUGUGCUGUUGGAUUUUGUUUGUUAGUAUUUCGUGCAGGCUUUUUGCAUUUAUGUUCAUCAGGGAUAUUGGCUGUAGUGUUCUUGUAGUGUCUGACUUUGGCAUUAGGGUAAUGCUGGCCUUGUAAAAUGAAUUUGGCAAACACAGGCAACCAAAGCAAAAAUGGACAAAUGGGAUCACAUCAAGUUAAAAAACUUCUGCACAGCAAAGGAAACAAUCCACAAAGUGAAGAGACAACCCAAAGAAUGGGAGAAAAUAUUCGCAAACUACCCAUCUGACAAGGGACUAAUAACCAGAAUAUAUAAAGAGCUCAAACAACCCUAGAGGAAAAAAUCUAAUAAUCUGAUCAAAAAGUGGGCAAAAGAUCUCAAUAGACAUUUCUCAAAAGAAGACCUACAAAUGACAAGCAGGCAUAGGAAAAGGUGCUCAAUGUCACUGAUCAUCAGAGAAAUGCAAAUCAAAACUACAAUGAGAUACCAUCUCACCCCAGUUAAAAUGGCUUCUAUCCUGCCAGGCACGGUGGCUCAUGCCUGUAAUCCCAGCAAUUUGGGAGGUGGAGGUGAGCGGAUCACCUGAGGUUGGGAGUUUGAGAUCAGCCUGACCAACAUGGAGAAACCCCGUCUCUACCGAAAAUACAAAAUUAGCCGGGUGUGGUGGUGCAUGCCUGUAAUCCCAGCUACUGGGGAGGCUGAGGCAGGAGAAUCGUUGGAACCCGGGACGCGGAGGUUGUGGUGAGCUGAGAUCGCAUCAUUGUACUCCAGCCUGGGCAACAAGAUGGAAACUCAGUCUCAAAAAAAAAAAAAGGGGGGGCCGGGCGCGGUGGCUCACGCCUGUAAUCCCAGCACUUUGGGAGGCCUAGGCAGGCAGAUCACCUGAGAUCAGGAGUUUGAGACCAGCCUGGCCAACAUGGUAAAACCCCGUCUCUACUUAAAAAAACAAAAAUUAGCCAGGCGCGGUGGCGGGUCUGUAAUCCCAGCUACCCGGGAAGCUAAGGCAGGAGAAUUGCUUGAACCUGGGAGGUGGAGGUUGCAGGGAGCCGAGAUCAAGCCACUGCACUCCAGCCUGGGAGACAGAGUGAGACUGUCUCAAAAGUAAAUAAAUAAAUAAAUAUAAAUAAAAUUGUAAAAUAUGCAUUCACAAGUUAGUGUUACUGGAAAACUGCAUGUUAUGUAACAGUAUGUACAGAAGUGAAAAAGUACAACCAAAAUGAUAUAUCACCAAAAUUAAAAACACAAAAAUUUAAGAUAAAAACAAAAUGACACGUACAAGUAAACCGUUUUUUUUAAUUUAUGUAAAUAUAAACACGGACAUUUAGAAAUAUACACAUUGAAAGGACAGAGAUGAGAAAUUAUUCCUUGGGUGUUGGGUGUCUGUUUGCCAUUUAUUUCUAUAAUGUAGUUCCCUCUUUUCUGAAAAACUUGCAACCAACGUGGAUGACUUUUCCAAAGAGAAGAGGGACCCAGCAUGGUGGCUCAUGCCUGUAAUCCCAGCACUUGGGAGGUCGAGGCAGGUGGAUCAUCUGAGGUCAGGAGUUCGAGACCAACCUGGCCAACAUGGCAAAACCCCUAUCUCUAUUAAAAAUACAAAAUUAGGUGAGUGUGGUAGCAGGCACUUGUAAUCCCAGCUACUUAGCAGGCUGAGGCAGGAGAAUUGCUUGAAUCCCGGAGGCGGAGGUUGCAAUGGGCCAGGAUCGCGCCACUGCACUCCAGCCUGGGUGAGAGAGUGAGACUCCGUCUCAAAAAACAAACAAACAAAAAAACACAGAAGAGAAAACACUCUCUGAAAUGGAAGUAAAGGGACUAGAAAACAAUGGGAAGCUAUUUAGUAGUAGGGGAAAGGGCUAUUUUCCAAUGGCGAGUGACAAAACCACAAGGCAAAACUGUCCCUCCCCCUCCAACUGGAGUCCAUACAGGGACGCAUGCACACGGGCACACGUGUGUCCCUCUGUGAGCGUUGUAUGGUGCACACUGAUAGACUGAUGGGGACCCUCUGACCAUUCCUGUGAGGACUUGAGCCAAAAAGCUACUUCUCUCUUGGCACACCUGGCCUAGCCCAGUGUGCUUUUGAAACUCUAGGAACCAUUGGAGUCCACUGGAGGGCUUCUGAAAACACCAACUGCUGGGCCCCAGGCCCACAGCUUCUGAUUCAGUGGGUCAUGGGUGGGGCCUGGGAGUAUGCAUUUUUAAUAGAUUCCCAGCGAGGCAGCUGCUGCCUGCCAGGGAACCCCACUUUGGGAACCACUGGACUAGUGUCUGGGUCAGCGAAUAGAGGAGGCCACCCGGAGGCCAGAAGGUGCCUGAGGCCCUGGGCUUCAUGGCUGGUGGCUGGAGAUGCCCUCCUCCAGGCCUGGAGCUUCCUCAACCUGACAACUUGCCAAUAAGGGAAAUGGGCGCGAUCUAACGUGCCGCGAACUAGUGCAGACUCACAGCCUAGGUCGAGUAGGAAUGGAAUUCUAGAAAUGAUAUAUGCCAAGAGUUUGCAGUGUAGACCUCAGAAUCAUCUCAGAUUCAAAGAGGAAACCAAACGACUGCAGCAGCAGCAGCAGCAGCAGCAGCAGCAGCAGCAGGGAACAGGUUGGCUACAGAGCCAGUGGUCACACCCGGCUUUCUGCAGCCUUUCUGGCUCCGCAGCAUUUUUUUCAGAGCUUAAGGGCGGGAGGAGAUGCUGUAUAUUUAGGGGUGGAGUGAGGAAUAGCGGAGCAUUCCGGCAUUUCUGGAGUAACACUGCCCCCAAGAGCAAUCUGUGAUAAAGCCUCAAGCUAUGUGGACAAACAACAUGAAAGGCGAGGUAAUGAAAAAAAGAUCCAGAAAGAUCCAGCAGCCAACUUGACGAUCCUCGCUGAUUGAAGAUUAAAGCACUAUGAGCGCAGCUAGGUUCAAAUAGCGGUUCUGCCACUUACUCACUUUGUGACCCUGGGCAAAUUAGUCAACUUCCCUGUGCCUCAGUUUCCCCUACUUGUACUUCAUGGGGGAUUAAUGAACUAAUAUAUGGAAAGUAUUCAAAGCAUUUCUGCUGACUACAGAAACUCUUUACAAUUCUCCCAGAAAUAAUCCAGGUCAUCAUGCAUUUGCCCACAUUCCAUCUUUGUCAGGAAUUGUAGGCCAAAAUGUUCUUUUUUUAUUUUAAUUUAAUUUUAAUUUUUUUUUGAGAUGGAGUCUCCCUCUGUCUCCCAGGCUGGAGUGCAGUGGCGUGAUCCGGGCUCACUGCAACCUCCACCUCCCAGGUUCAAGGAAUUUUCCUGCCUUAGCCUCCCGAGUAGCUGGGAUUACAGACGCCCGCCAACAUGCCUGGCUAGUUUUUAUGUUUUUUUAGUAGAGACGGGGUUUUGCCGUGUUGCCCAGGCUGGUCUCCAACUUCUGACUUCAGGUGAUCCGCCUGCCUCGGCCUCCCAAAGUACUGGGAUUGUAGAUGUGAGCCACUGCAACCGGCCCAAAA
RNAcentral lists this long non-coding RNA (4603 nucleotides) under Homo sapiens (human). Its description in RNAcentral is "HSALNT0282462". Lineage: Eukaryota; Metazoa; Chordata; Mammalia; Primates; Hominidae. The record is from RNAcentral.